GAGAUCUUAUCUUAAUAAAAGUAUUUGAGUUGCAUUCAGAAGAUGAGGGUUGAUGUCCUUCAGGUCUUA
RNAcentral lists this transfer RNA (69 nucleotides) under Anomaloglossus sp. Paru. RNAcentral's name for it is "tRNA-Ala". It matches the Rfam family "tRNA". Rfam says of the family: Transfer RNA (tRNA) molecules are approximately 80 nucleotides in length. Their secondary structure includes four short double-helical elements and three loops (D, anti-codon, and T loops). Further hydrogen bonds mediate the characteristic L-shaped molecular structure. tRNAs have two regions of fundamental functional importance: the anti-codon, which is responsible for specific mRNA codon recognition, and the 3' end, to which the tRNAs corresponding amino acid is attached (by aminoacyl-tRNA synthetases). tRNAs cope with the degeneracy of the genetic code in two manners: having more than one tRNA (with a specific anti-codon) for a particular amino acid; and 'wobble' base-pairing, i.e. permitting non-standard base-pairing at the 3rd anti-codon position. The record is from RNAcentral. Lineage: Eukaryota; Metazoa; Chordata; Amphibia; Anura; Aromobatidae.